GGGGCAUGGCCCUCCGGUCGCCCCCUUUCCCCCUGUCCCCACGCCUAUGUAAAACUCAGCUCCGGUUUGUGAGAACAGAAAGGAUGCGACCUCCAGAAAAAAUGAACCUUCAGUGCACAAGGGAUUCCAGAGAAAAACUGUUCGCGUGCGCUCAUACAGGCGACGCCGUCGCCAUCACCAACAGUCUCGCGCUCGGACGCCCAUCGGAUACAGACGGAGGAGAGUGAGGCGCUGGACGAGCCUGUCUCUUGCCGUGCUGAAGACGCUGCGUCGGAAGACCGCCAGUUCCGGUUGGUGAAUCUGGCUGCUCUGACUCCGUCCAGCUGGCCGACGGGCGAGUGCCUACACAGCAGCUCGCUGGCGCCGCCGUUGCGCGCGCGCGUCCAGACGGCAGUCGGCCCGCGGGCCAGCCUCGCAGCAUCUGUAGUGGCCGUGCUGCGCGGAGGAAUGCAUCCGGGAGCUGCCGGAUGAGGCCGUCUGGAUCUGUUCGGACGGGCCGGCGGAGGAUGGUUUGGCGGCGGUGGCUCCCUGCUCCGCUUACCAGAUGGAGACGACUGGGUUAUACGGGUUCCGGCGGGCCGCUUCUGCUCCAGUGCGCGCGCGGAGCUCACCGCGCACCCGCCCCGGUCCAAGCCGCUACCAGAUGGAGACGACUGGGACAUAUGGGUCCCGGCGGGCCGCUUCUGCUCCAGUGCGCGCGCGGAGCUCACGGCGCCCCCGCCCCGGUCCGAGUGCUACCAGGGAGAAGGCUGUUACACUUAUCAGCGCUGGUCGGGCCACUGGGGAUGAUCGGGGCAGCAUCUCCACCGGAUUGAAAGAAGGCCAACGUCCGAGUGCGCCCAGUGCAGUCAGCAGUGACACCGAAUGUCCAACAGGCCGCUGCCUGGUCUGCGGCGAAGCAGCAGACAAUUAGGCGCACGUGUUGCUGGAGUGUCCGUGCUUUUACGGCCUCCGGCUCCGUGCGCGGGGAAACAUCGUCGGCGCGGCCCACGAUGUCGAACGCGACGACAUGGUGGCGAUCUUGGUCGCCGGCUACGAGGCCCACAAGAGCCUUGUUUUGGCUACGGCGGCAGCUUUGGGGACACCACAACAGCUGACGGCGGCCGCGGCCCCAGAGAUGCGCACCUGCGGGCAGGGCGGCCGCUGAUCUACAUCUCAGCUGAUUAUACUGAACAGACGGAGGAGACUGAGGCGCUGGACAACGAGUCUGUCUCUGGCCGUACUGAAGACGCUGCGUCGGAAGACCGUCAGUUCUGGUUGGGAAUCUGGCUGCUCUGACUCCGUCCAGCUGGCCGACGAGUGCGUGCCAAGACAGCCGCCGCCGCCGCCGCCGCCCCCGCGCGCGCGCCAAGACGGCCGUCUACCGGCGCCGAUGCCGCCACGCGCACGCUAGACGCCCGUCCACUGGUGCCACCGCCUCACGCGCGCGCACAGUCGGCAGCCGCCGCGUGUGCGUGCCCGCCCAGAAUAUGCGCUCUGCCGCCGUUGACUGCGGCUCGAGAUUCACGUUCAAGGUUUAGGCAUACACUCAUGUUAAUUGUCUACAUUCAUGAAGGUGCGUGGUGACAAAGAUGCCUCGUCUGUGGCAGCGGAUUUGCUUGUUCCGCCUCAACAUGUGCAAAGUUGUUAUGUAAACUGAUGCGCUCGGCAUUCGCCGUCCGCUCGCGCUGGUGGCGCGCGAACGAAUGACCUGGCCCUGUUCAUGGCUCAUGCGGACCUGACGAGCGGCGGUAUGACGCAAUCGCAUAGACGGAUUACCUUUCACCGCGAAGAAAAUCAUUAUCAGCUGGCUUAAAAUUAUGCAAUUGUUUGCCCUCAGUUCGCCGGGUAAUAUCAUUCUUUGAUCAUUCAUGCUGACUUGCGAGGCUGAUAUUUGAUAAUAUAUAGUGUGAAGCGUUCCAUUUUUUUUUCUUAUUUCAAAACUCAUCUGUGUAUCUCGCAACAAUAAUCAACCGAGUCUUUUCUGUUCUGCAGAAUUUGGAAGCUGAGCGAGACUUAAGCAAUACAUUUGAAUAAUUC
Molecule: long non-coding RNA, 2019 nt
Filed under: Amphibalanus amphitrite
Lineage: Eukaryota; Metazoa; Arthropoda; Thecostraca; Balanomorpha; Balanidae
Description: uncharacterized LOC122374036, transcript variant X1
Source: RNAcentral